Molecule: long non-coding RNA, 620 nt
Organism: Peromyscus leucopus (white-footed mouse)
Lineage: Eukaryota; Metazoa; Chordata; Mammalia; Rodentia; Cricetidae
Exons: 2
Source: RefSeq, a predicted model, not a curated record
AACUUAGAAUGUAGACUAUAUCAGUUCCAAAUUUGGAGCAGUCCUCCUGCCUCAGCUUCCCAGGUGCCGGGAGGACAGGUUGAGCCGUUAUUCCCAACUUUAUGAGUGAUAUCAAAUCACAAGACCCACGCAGAGGUGGGAUUUGAGACUGUGCCACUUGCAGCUUAGAGACCUGGAAGCUGAGACUCAAGAGAUAGAAGAAGGUGACCUGAGGGGUCGCUCUGGGACGACCCAACUUCCUGUUACUUUAGGAGAAAAGUGCUGGGUGGCCUGCCUGCCUGGACAUGUGCACUGAUUGGUUACAGAGCAAAGGGGACAAGGGGAAGCCGGGGUCUACUUCCUUCUGCGAUCACUGCAGGACUUUCAGGACCUGCCGGACUCAGCGUACGGACGCUGAGGCUGGGGGAUGAAGUUGCCCGAGAUCACACUGUGGGUUAAUAAUGGAGCCAGGCUCUGCACAGGAGUCGGCCGUGAACCUCCUGUUUGAAGUCCCCUGCAGCCAGUUAGCAGGCAUUCCUCUUCCCUCCCAUCUCUGUCAACCACCGAGGUAUUUGGGUGGAUUGCCUCUUCUGUACACUUUAUAGAGAUAGAAUCGAAUACCAUGUGGUCUCUGUUCCUGA